Molecule: ribosomal RNA, 423 nt
Filed under: uncultured bacterium
Lineage: Bacteria
Description: bacterial SSU rRNA
Rfam family: Bacterial small subunit ribosomal RNA
Source: RNAcentral
GCACAACGCGAAGAACCUUACCUGGGCUUGACAUGCAUCUCUAAGCGCGUGAAAGCGCGUGACCCUUCGGGGGAUUUGCACAGGUGCUGCAUGGCCGUCGUCAGCUCGUGUCGUGAGAUGUUGGGUUAAGUCCCGCAACGAGCGCAACCCUUGUGUCCAGUUGCCAGCAUUUAAGGUGGGAACUCUGGACAGACUGCCCAGAUCAACUGGGAGGAAGGUGGGGACGACGUCAGGUCAGUAUGGCCCUUACGCCCAGGGCUGCACACGUACUACAAUGCCCAGUACAAUGAGAGCCGAAGCCGCGAGGUUGAGGAAAAUCUGUAAAACUGGGCCCAGUUCGGAUUGGAGGCUGCAACUCGCCUCCAUGAAGUCGGAAUCGCUAGUAAUCGUAGAUCAGAAUGCUACGGUGAAUACGUUCCCGGG